Molecule: transfer-messenger RNA, 376 nt
Filed under: Buchnera aphidicola (Melanaphis sacchari)
Lineage: Bacteria; Pseudomonadati; Pseudomonadota; Gammaproteobacteria; Enterobacterales; Erwiniaceae
Rfam family: transfer-messenger RNA
About the family: Bacterial tmRNA, also known as 10Sa RNA or SsrA, is named for its dual tRNA and mRNA-like properties. Its role is to liberate the mRNA from a stalled ribosome.
Source: RNAcentral
GGGGCUGUUGUGGAUUCGACAAAAUUAUCAAACAAAUAAAGUGCAUGCCGAGGAACGGUUUGCCUCGAUAAAAAGCCGUAAAAAAAUAGAUACAAAGAAUAAAAACAACUACGCUUUAGCAGCUUAAAAAACUACAUAAAGCCCUUUCUUCUCAAAUUUCUUACUCUCUUUUAAAAAUGAGAAAAUAUGAAAGGUUAAUUAUUAAAGAGAAGCGUGCACACUAGUCUUGGUAGAUUUGUGCGUUAUUUUUUUACAAGAUAUAGACUUAAAAUGCGUUUUUCCAAAUUAAGUAAUGAAAUAUCUAAAGAAAAACUAAGCAUGUAGAACCUUUAUUUAUAGAAAUUUUGGACGCGGGUUCAAAUCCCGCCAGCUCCAA